UUAAAAGCUCGUAGUUGGAUUUCGGAAGGUCCUUAGCAGUCCGCCCCUUCGGGGAGCGGGCUGCUGGCCUCCUAUGUUCCUAACGGUCCUCAUCCGCGAGGGUGGGGAAUCAACCGCUAGGAUCGUUUACUUUGAGGAAAUUAGAGUGUUCAAAGCAGGCGUAACUCGCCUCCGAAUACGUUAGCAUGGGAUAAUGGAAUACGACUUCGGUCUUGUUUCGUUGGUUUCGCUUGGCUGAAGUAAUGAUUGAUAGGGACAGUUGGGGGCAUUAGUAUUUAGUUGUCAGAGGUGAAAUUCUAGGAUUUACUAAAGACUGACCAAUGCGAAAGCAUUUGCCAAGGAUGUUUUCAUUAAUCAAGAACGAAAGUAGGGGGAUCGAAGACGAUCAGAUACCGUCGUAGUCUCUACCGUAAACUAUGCCGACCAGGGAUCCGGAGAGUUUGCAUGGAUGACUCCCCGGGCACCUUGUGAGAAAUCAUAAGUGUUUGGGUUUUGGGGGGAGUAUGGUCGCAAGGCUGAAACUUAAAGGAAUUGACGGAAGGGCACCA
This 548-nucleotide ribosomal RNA is filed under the name Vermamoeba vermiformis. RNAcentral's name for it is "SSU rRNA". It matches the Rfam family "Eukaryotic small subunit ribosomal RNA", at positions 620 to 1169 of the family's 1831-position model. Lineage: Eukaryota; Tubulinea; Echinamoebida; Vermamoebidae. The record is from RNAcentral.